Molecule: ribosomal RNA, 978 nt
Filed under: Chloropicon mariensis
Lineage: Eukaryota; Viridiplantae; Chlorophyta; Chloropicophyceae; Chloropicales; Chloropicaceae
Description: partial Bacterial large subunit ribosomal RNA
Rfam family: Bacterial large subunit ribosomal RNA
Source: RNAcentral
UCUGUUUGAAUAUAGGGGAACCUUCCUCUAAGCCUUAAUAUAAUAUACAAGUAAUAGAGAAAAGUACUGUGAAGGAAAAUUUAUAAGUAGUAGUCUUAUAAGCAGCUCGAGCUAAGUUUAAUAAACAGAUAAGAGCGUACCUUUUGUAUAAUGGGUCAGCAAGUUCUAGUUAGAUGCAAGCAACUACUUUUUGUUAAUAAAUUUUUUAUGUAAUGGGUAGAAAAAGAUACCAUUAAAAAAAAUGAACAAUGAAUUUGCCUAGAUAAUCCAAUUAUUAAGUAAUGAAUAAGUAUCUAAUUAGAGACCCGAAGAGUAGUGAUCUUACCAUGGUCAGGCUUAUAAAAGGCCGAAUGGGUUAUCGUUGUAAAGAUAUCCAAAGAACUGUGGUAAGUUAGUGAAAGACAAUCCUGACUACUAUAGCUGGUUUUCCGCGAAACAUAUGUAAGUAUGUAGUUUAAAGCACAUCAUAGCAGGUACAGAACUGUAAUCUCGGACAAUUUGUGCAUUUUCAUUCCUAUAGGGUAAACUUAUCCUAUAGAGAAGGUUAAUGCCUUGUGCAUAUGGGGGGGUCGUGAAGACUCUAUUCGCGAGUAUUUGCUCUCGGAAGGGCAAUGAUGAAUGUUGAACUAUCAGACAUUUAACGAUAAGGUUGUGUGUCAAAAGGGAAACAGCCCAGAACAAGUGUUUAAGGUUCCAAAGUUUUUGUUAAGUGAAAGUAAGGAAGUAUUUAAACUAUACAACCAGGAAAUAGGCUUAGAAGCGGCCAUUUUUUAAAGACCUCGUAACAGAGCACUGGUUCAAAUGGUUAGAAAUAACCUAAUUAGUUAAAAGCGCCGAAGAUAUAACGGAUCUAAACAAAACACCGACACCUUGUCCAUAAUAAAAUUUAAAAUUUAAUGAAAAAUUUAGUUUUAUUUUAAUAUAUUUAAAUAUUAUUUAAGUAUUGUUUAUGGGGUAGCGGAACAUUGGGUAAAUAGA